GGAGUAAAUGCGUGGCACGAUCAUGCUUUGAUAGUUUAUUUCGUUCUUGCUUUAUUUUUUUAUUUUUUAUUUAUUUCGAAUUCCAUAAUAUGUUAAAAAUAUAUAUUUUAAAUUUUAAAUUUUAAAUUUUAAUUUUAAUAUACAUGAUUAUAAAAAAAUUGUAAAAUUGUAGAAAAAACUAUGUUAGAUUUUGACAGGACAAAACAUCUCUAUGCUGGAAUGAGAAAAAAGAAAGAACAUUCUAACAUGCUUUCCUUUGCCGGGACAUCAAAUUGACCAACCAACUAAUCGAUCUCGACUUAAACCGGAUUCAAAAACUUAUCAAAACCAAAAAAAAACUAAAAAUUAAUUGCUUAUUAAUAUAUAUAAAAAAAA
This 375-nucleotide long non-coding RNA is filed under the name Capsella rubella. RNAcentral describes it as "long non-coding RNA (CRUB_LNC003979)". Lineage: Eukaryota; Viridiplantae; Streptophyta; Magnoliopsida; Brassicales; Brassicaceae. The record is from RNAcentral.